This 497-nucleotide ribosomal RNA is filed under the name uncultured bacterium. Its description in RNAcentral is "partial 16S ribosomal RNA". It matches the Rfam family "Bacterial small subunit ribosomal RNA", at positions 28 to 507 of the family's 1533-position model. The record is from RNAcentral.
GAUGAACGCUGGCGGCGUGCCUAAUACAUGCAAGUCGAGCGAACAGACGAGGAGCUUGCUCCUCUGACGUUAGCGGCGGACGGGUGAGUAACACGUGGAUAACCUACCUAUAAGACUGGGAUAACUUCGGGAAACCGGAGCUAAUACCGGAUAAUAUAUUGAACCGCAUGGUUCAAUAGUGAAAGACGGUUUUGCUGUCACUUAUAGAUGGAUCCGCGCCGCAUUAGCUAGUUGGUAAGGUAACGGCUUCCCAAGGCAACGAUGCGUAGCCGACCUGAAAGGGUGAUCGGCCACACUGGAACUGAGACACGGUCCAGACUCCUACGGGAGGCAGCAGUAGGGAAUCUUCCGCAAUGGGCGAAAGCUUGACGGAGCAACGCCGCGUGAGUGAUGAAGGUCUUCGGAUCGUAAAACUCUGUUAUUAGGGAAGAACAAAUGUGUAAGUAACUAUGCACGUCUUGACGGUACCUAAUCAGAAAGCCACGGCUAACUACGUG